AUCUGACAAUGCUAAAGUGUGGCGCCCUCCAGCAGCAACGGAGGUUAUCUUCACCCCUGGAUCCAAUUCUACAAUACAAGCUGGUGCAGAAAGAGAUUCGUCAGCAAGAGGUGGGCUUUCAAGUUCUUGUUUAGCCGUCAUUGUUCUCCUCCUUUUUGCAGUUUCUUCAGGUUUUUUAUUAUCUUGGUGAGCAACUGAACCACCAAUUGGCUUGGAGCCUUGAGAUUGAGGGCUUUCUUGGUCAGUUGACCCUGAUUCUUUCCGAAUAGCAUCCCCUUCAAAACUCCCUCCAGAAGCGAAAUUUGCAACAACCUUGGAAGAAGGCACACAUUCCUUCCAGCCCCAUGUGUACACAUCAUUCUUUUCAGUAACAGAUACACAAUGUGCCCAACCAGCUGCGGCUUUCAUGAUUGGAUCUUCAGUUGGAAGCGGAAAUGGUUCUGGAGCCUCCCCAUGUUUUCCAGAAGUCAAGUAGCUUUGGCCUUGAUCAUCUGCAGAACCCCACGUGAUAAGUUUUCCAGACUCUGAAAUAGCCAUAGCGAAACCACAACCUCCUCCACAUACAUCCUUCCAUGAUUGAACAUCGAUUCCGUUAUCCGGCAACUGAACUUCCACCGGAGAAGUUAACGGCGACUUAUGAGACAAUACUCCGGGAAGAUAUCCCCACAUAAACAACUCAUACUUCUUCUUCUCUUCAUUCUCUUCCUUCAUUUUCACCUCAUCUUCCUCUCCUCUUACACCGUUUUCACUCAUUUUUUCAGAAAAAA
This 767-nucleotide unclassified non-coding RNA is filed under the name Hevea brasiliensis (rubber tree). Lineage: Eukaryota; Viridiplantae; Streptophyta; Magnoliopsida; Malpighiales; Euphorbiaceae. The record is from RNAcentral.